Molecule: non-coding RNA, 282 nt
Organism: Vicia faba (fava bean)
Lineage: Eukaryota; Viridiplantae; Streptophyta; Magnoliopsida; Fabales; Fabaceae
Source: the annotation of a GenBank genome assembly
AUGGGCCCAUUAAAUUGCAUUUUACUUAACCCAAAAGAUCAUUUUUCUUCACAUAGCCAUUACUCAUUAGGGUUUCUUCGAGACUUAGAUACCAUUCAUUCCUUCAGUUUUAUUUUGCCGCUAUGGUUUCAACCUUCAUCGUCUUCUUCAAUUUGUCGUUGCUGUUUGGUCCUCAACGAGCACCACCAAGCCACGAUUCACCAUGAAUAUGGAACAUGGAAACGGGAGCUCGCAAGGAGCUGUAGACGGGAGUUUGCAAGGAGCUGUAGACGGGAGCUGUAG